CAGUCGUACCGACGAGAAAUCAACCUUUCGAGUGCGAACUUGUGGGUUUUGAAGAGUUUCAAAGCCUUCGGAUUCGCGGGAUUGGGGAUCUCUUGGUGUACUUUUUCGUACGGUUAGUCAACAUCGGUUUUGAAUGUCAUAAAAUGAUUGGGGGAAUGUAGCUUCGAUCUUGUAUUGAAGUGUUAUAGCCUUUGGUAGAUGUGAUGUUUGAGACCCGAGGAUUGCAACGGAUACUCUUCAGGGCUAUUCGUCUGAUCUCUGAUACGUUGCCUUGAUGUUG
RNAcentral lists this ribosomal RNA (280 nucleotides) under Funneliformis mosseae. Lineage: Eukaryota; Fungi; Glomeromycota; Glomeromycetes; Glomerales; Glomeraceae. The record is from RNAcentral.